Molecule: ribosomal RNA, 505 nt
Filed under: Colletotrichum sp. D138_115
Lineage: Eukaryota; Fungi; Ascomycota; Sordariomycetes; Glomerellales; Glomerellaceae
Description: eukaryotic LSU rRNA
Rfam family: 5.8S ribosomal RNA (bases 217-370)
Source: RNAcentral
UAGGUCUCGUUGGUGACCAGCGGAGGGAUCAUUACUGAGUUACCGCUCUAUAACCCUUUGUGAACGUACCUAACCGUUGCUUCGGCGGGCAGGGGAAGCCUCUCGCGGGCCUCCCCUCCCGGCGCCGGCCCCCACCACGGGGACGGGGCGCCCGCCGGAGGAAACCAAACUCUAUUUACACGACGUCUCUUCUGAGUGGCACAAGCAAAUAAUUAAAACUUUUAACAACGGAUCUCUUGGUUCUGGCAUCGAUGAAGAACGCAGCGAAAUGCGAUAAGUAAUGUGAAUUGCAGAAUUCAGUGAAUCAUCGAAUCUUUGAACGCACAUUGCGCUCGCCAGCAUUCUGGCGAGCAUGCCUGUUCGAGCGUCAUUUCAACCCUCAAGCACCGCUUGGUUUUGGGGCCCCACGGCCGACGUGGGCCCUUAAAGGUAGUGGCGGACCCUCCCGGAGCCUCCUUUGCGUAGUAACUAACGUCUCGCACUGGGAUCCGGAGGGACUCUUGCC